CAUGCAAGUCGAACGGGAUAGGUUUUAGCAAUAGAACCUUGAGAGUGGCGCACGGGUGCGUAACACGUAUGCAACCUACCUUUAACUGGGGGAUAGCCUCUCGAAAGAGAGAUUAAUACCCCAUAGUAUAUUUUGGUAGCAUUAUUGAAAUAUUAAAGAUUUAUUGGUUAAAGAUGGGCAUGCGGCUGAUUAGGUAGUUGGUGAGGUAAUGGCUCACCAAGCCAACGAUCAGUAGGGGGUCUGAGAGGAUGUCCCCCCACACUGGUACUGAGACACGGACCAGACUCCUACGGGAGGCAGCAGUAGGGAAUAUUGGUCAAUGGGGGAAACCCUGAACCAGCCAUUCCGCGUGCAGGAUUAAGGCCCUAUGGGUCGUAAACUGCUUUUGUAUGGGAAAAAAUCACCUUAUGUAUAGGGUGUUGAUGGUACCAUGAGAAUAAGGAUCGGCUAACUUCGUGCCAGCAGCCGCGGUAAUACGAAGGAUCCAAGCGUUGUCCGGAUUUACUGGGUUUAAAGGGUGCGUAGGCGGAAAAUUAAGUCAGUGGUGAAAGCUGGUAGCUCAACUAUCAAAUUGCCAUUGAAACUGAUUUUCUCGAGUACGGUUGAGGUAGCUGGAAUGUAACAUGUAGCGGUGAAAUGCUUAGAUAUGUUACAGAACACCGAUUGCGAAGGCAGGCUACUAAACCGUAACUGACGCUGA
This 700-nucleotide ribosomal RNA is filed under the name uncultured bacterium. RNAcentral describes it as "bacterial SSU rRNA". It matches the Rfam family "Bacterial small subunit ribosomal RNA", at positions 54 to 749 of the family's 1533-position model. The record is from RNAcentral.